RNAcentral lists this microRNA precursor (98 nucleotides) under Marmota monax (woodchuck). Lineage: Eukaryota; Metazoa; Chordata; Mammalia; Rodentia; Sciuridae. The record is from RNAcentral.
GUGUGUGUGUGUGUGUGUGUGUAUGUGUGUGUGUGUGUAUAUAUAUAUAUACAUAUAUAUAUAUAUAUAUACACACACAUAUACACACAUACACACAC